CGCGCAGGCGGUCUUGUCCGUCAGGUGUGAAAGCCCGGGGCUCAACCCCGGAAGUGCACUUGAAACAGCAAGACUUGAAUACGGGAGAGGAGAGAGGAAUUCCUGGUGUAGAGGUGAAAUUCGUAGAUAUCAGGAGGAACACCGAUGGCGAAGGCAUCUCUCUGGACCGAUAUUGACGCUGAGGCGCGAAGGCGUGGGUAGCGAACAGGAUUAGAUACCCUGGUAGUC
This 228-nucleotide ribosomal RNA is filed under the name uncultured bacterium. Its description in RNAcentral is "partial 16S ribosomal RNA". It matches the Rfam family "Bacterial small subunit ribosomal RNA", at positions 568 to 795 of the family's 1533-position model. The record is from RNAcentral.